GCGUGAUAAUUCGUCCUUUAAUUGUGGGCUUGUACGAAUGAGUUAACGAAAAUUAAGCUGUCUCUAUAUAUUAUUUAGAAAUUGAUUUUUAAGUGAAAAAACUUAAAUAUUAAUAAAGGACAAAAAGACCCCAUAGAGCUUAACUAUAAUUAAAUUGUAUAUAAAAAUUAAUUAUAUUUAAUAAUUUAUUUAAAUUAGUUUAACUGGGGCGGUUAAGGAAAUAUUUUACUUCCUUAUAAUAUUAUAAUUUAAAUUUAAUUUUCAUUAUUAGAUCCUUUAAAAGAUUAAAAGAAAAGCUACCUUGGGGGUAACAGACUAAUUUUCUUUGAGAGCUCGUAUUGACAAGAAAGU
RNAcentral lists this ribosomal RNA (351 nucleotides) under Ampharete octocirrata. RNAcentral's name for it is "partial 16S ribosomal RNA". Lineage: Eukaryota; Metazoa; Annelida; Polychaeta; Terebellida; Ampharetidae. The record is from RNAcentral.